This 590-nucleotide ribosomal RNA is filed under the name uncultured bacterium. Its description in RNAcentral is "bacterial SSU rRNA". It matches the Rfam family "Bacterial small subunit ribosomal RNA", at positions 337 to 917 of the family's 1533-position model. The record is from RNAcentral.
UCCUACGGGAGGCAGCAGUAGGGAAUCUUCCGCAAUGGACGAAAGUCUGACGGAGCAACGCCGCGUGAGUGAUGAAGGCUUUCGGGUCGUAAAACUCUGUUGUUAGAGAAGAACAAGUGCUAGUUGAAUAAGCUGGCACCUUGACGGUACCUAACCAGAAAGCCACGGCUAACUACGUGCCAGCAGCCGCGGUAAUACGUAGGUGGCAAGCGUUAUCCGGAAUUAUUGGGCGUAAAGCGCGCGCAGGUGGUUUCUUAAGUCUGAUGUGAAAGCCCACGGCUCAACCGUGGAGGGUCAUUGGAAACUGGGAGACUUGAGUGCAGAAGAGGAAAGUGGAAUUCCAUGUGUAGCGGUGAAAUGCGUAGAGAUAUGGAGGAACACCAGUGGCGAAGGCGACUUUCUGGUCUGUAACUGACACUGAGGCGCGAAAGCGUGGGGAGCAAACAGGAUUAGAUACCCUGGUAGUCCACGCCGUAAACGAUGAGUGCUAAGUGUUAGAGGGUUUCCGCCCUUUAGUGCUGAAGUUAACGCAUUAAGCACUCCGCCUGGGGAGUACGGCCGCAAGGCUGAAACUCAAAGGAAUUGACGGA